AGUAUAUCCUCCAAAGAAUAUACCACAAGUUUUUCCAUUUGACUUUGAAGUGAUAAAUCUGUUCAGAUAAGCUCCUUAUGAAUCCUUCAGAUCGAUGUUCUUGAGGAAAACAGUCAAGCUAAACAUCAAUGAUGACUUUUAUGAGUUUUCCUCCAACGACAGAAAAACACUGCAGUAAGCUUUGGCAGCGUGUCCUCUGAAGAGGCAGAGACUCGUUUAUCCAGCUAUCAAAAAUCCAUCAAGUCUGCACACAAGCUUCUGUGCCAGCUGCUGGGGAUGCAAAGAAUGCACCCCACCCCACUUGGCCACAAAAAGCUGACAGCCACAUUUUUAAAAAUAUAUUUUGUUUACCUUUAGGCUCA
This 362-nucleotide small RNA is filed under the name Pan troglodytes (chimpanzee). RNAcentral's name for it is "processed transcript". Lineage: Eukaryota; Metazoa; Chordata; Mammalia; Primates; Hominidae. The record is from RNAcentral.